Molecule: unclassified non-coding RNA, 329 nt
Filed under: soil metagenome
Description: partial contains 5.8S ribosomal RNA, internal transcribed spacer 2, and large subunit ribosomal RNA
Rfam family: 5.8S ribosomal RNA (bases 1-121)
Source: RNAcentral
GAUGAAGAACGUAGCGAAUUGCGAUAAGUAAUGUGAAUUGCAGAUUUUCAGUGAAUCAUCGAAUCUUUGAACGCACAUUGCGCCCCUUGGUAUUCCGAGGGGCAUGCCUGUUCGAGCGUCAUUAUAACCCCUCAAGCUCAGCUUGGUGUUGGGGCCUGCCGCACGGGCAGCCCUUAAAAUCAGUGGCGGUGCCAUCUGGCUCUAAGCGUAGUAAUUCUUCUCGCUAUAGAGUCCCGGUGGAUGCUUGCCAUUAACCCCCAAUUUUCUAUGGUUGACCUCGGAUCAGGUAGGGAUACCCGCUGAACUUAAGCAUAUCAAUAAGCGGAGGA